This is a long non-coding RNA of Juglans microcarpa x Juglans regia, 111 nucleotides long. RefSeq lists it as uncharacterized. NCBI's taxonomy places the organism in Eukaryota, Viridiplantae, Streptophyta, Magnoliopsida, Fagales, Juglandaceae. The record is from RefSeq and is a predicted model, not a curated record. The transcript has 3 exons.
UUCCAUAAAGGACUCUCAGAGUUCAUCAUUCAUUCAUCAAAACAUAACUAGUUCUAAAUAAGAGGGGACUCAGUCCCUACAAUUCAUACAGAAAGGGGCAUUAUACCAUCG